This 157-nucleotide non-coding RNA is filed under the name Schistosoma curassoni. Its description in RNAcentral is "Eukaryotic small subunit ribosomal RNA". It matches the Rfam family "Eukaryotic small subunit ribosomal RNA", at positions 1680 to 1831 of the family's 1831-position model. Lineage: Eukaryota; Metazoa; Platyhelminthes; Trematoda; Strigeidida; Schistosomatidae. The record is from Rfam by way of RNAcentral.
UACUAUCGAUUGAAUGGUUUAAUAAGGUCAUUGGAUUGUUGUCGUUGUAGUGGCUUUUCUGCUCGACUGAUGCUGAGAAGAUGACCUCAUUUGAAUAUUUAGAGAAAGUAAAGGUCGUAGCAAGGUUUCCGUAGGUGAACCUGCGGAAGGAUCAUUA